UCUUGCAAGUGGGGAGGCUUUUCAUGCUGGUCGGAGAGAUUUUUCAGGCAGGGGGAGAGGUUUGGUUUUGAGCAGAGCGUGAGAGAUAGAGGGAUUUUCCCAUUGAUGAGAGUAAAGGGAGAGGGAUUUUCCUGUAGAGAGAUCCCAUUGCUGUGAGAGGAGAAGGAUUUUCCUGUGGAGAGAUCCCAUUGCUGUGGCUGUUAGUGAGGAGAAGAGGGUUUUAACUUUGCGAGAGAGAGCUGCGAGGGGGAAUUCUUUUGGCUUGGAGGUCAAGAUAGAGAGGAUUCCAGAGAGUGCUUUUAGAAGGAGGAGAAAAACAGAGGACUUUCUGGAGCAGAGAACCAGAGAGAGGGAUCUCUUGAGCUGGAGAGGAGCUUCAAGUAUGUUUAUUGUGGGUUUCUCAUUCGCUUCUACCGGUAAGUUUUUCUUCUCUUUUUUUUGUUGAUUCUUGGAUGACUUUUGUUGGUUGGGAGUAAGCAUGCUCAUAUCUCUUUCUUUAAUGAUUUUUGUUGAGGACCUGUUUGGCUCUGUUCCAGUUUCCCCAUGAGAUAUUUGUAACCUUGUUUUGAUUUUUAUUUGGUACUCAUUUGAUUUCACCCAUCCUCAUGUGAGCUCAUUGAUUAAUAUAUGAAAUGAGGCUUGUAUGAAUUCAUGUUAUUCCUGUUGCUUGCACUCUGUUUUGUUGUCUACCUUGUUUCUAGUACCCAUACCUGGACUGUGUUAUUUUCCUCAUUUCCACCUUUGGAAGCAAGGAGUUACAGAGGAUCAUUUCCAGUAGGAGAGUGCUUGGUGAAUACUUAGGCACAAAGAUGACGUGUUCAUCAGGGUAAGAAGGUCCUGAGUGUGCAGUUGCUGGGUGGAUACGUUGCCUGAUACUAUUGCCAUGUGACACCAGAAAAAUUGACUCCUCAUUUGAAAAGAAUCUUGCUGGGCAAAAGGUUCUUUGACUAUGGGACUGACAGGUCUUGACCGGAGUUAUGCUCAUCCAUGCACAGUUAUGAAACACCAGAUAUGACUGUGUAAUAUUGAGAUGUCCCACCGGUGGUAUUGAAGGUGCUGGAUGCGUUUUGAUACAUGCCGGAUGAGCAGAGAAAUCCACUUCAGGAGUUUCAGGAUGCCCACAUUCCAGGUGCCUUUUUUUCUUUGAUGUUAAUGACAUAUCAGACCAAACCACAAAUCAGCCACACAGGUUGCCAUCGGAGAAAGCUUUUGCAGUUGUUGUUUCUGCCCUUGGCAUUGGAAAUAAAGAUGGAGUUGUUGUUUAUGAUGGAAAAGGAAGUAUGCUCUGAUAAACUAGAAUUUAAAUAAAAUUGCUGUGGGAACUCAAAAUGAGACAAACGUGUUGACUUUAUUGAAACUAUGGAUAUUUUAAAUGAGCAUGCUCGUCUUAAAGCUGGAAUUCUCGUGCAUGAAGAAAUCUAGCAGCAAUGGGGAGUGCUGUGUAUGGACAGCUGGGAAGUCCUGUAGCUGAUGGAAAGAUUCCAACACUUGUUGAAGCAGUAGGAAAUCUCUGAAAACUUCUUUUGCUCCAAACAUGAACAAGCCAUAUCGCGUGUGUGAUGAUUGCUUUACCCAGUUGAAGAAGGCCCUGGAAUCUGGAUCUGUUCUGCGUAUUCUUAAAGCGAGGAGUAGUAAUAUACUUCAAAAGUCUAACGAGAUAGCAGAAAGAGACACAAUGGGUCCUAGAGUACAGGGACAACUGUCCAGACUCUCAUCAGUUGACUCAUUCAGUCUAGCUGAAAGCAAAGCCAAGUUCCAACGAGACUCAAUCCUCCCACUCACAAACCGGUGCAGCCACCAAUAGUUUAAGAGACACACUUAAUUUGUCUCCUAGAAAUAAAGCAAGCAAAGCUGUGUGCCGCCGGCGGCGAAACGCUUCCACUCUGACUGCGUCGUGCCCUCAGCUAUCGACUCUGACCGCCGUUUCUCCAGUCGACGCGUGUCGCUGGAAGACUUGACGCUGAUCGAUUCUCUGCCAUCUCAUCUGGCCCUCAUGAUGGCUUCGGUAUUUGUGAUAUUGUUGCUAGUUCCAUUAAGGCUGCUACCAAAGUGAUUGAGGAUCUGCAGGAGAAACUUGAAGCUGCUUUGCAGACCAUGAAGCAGUCUGUAGUUCAUACAAGGAAGUGAAUGAGAGGUUCAACGAAUUGCAUGGGAAGAAUGAAGUGGAAUUCAACAUCUGGAUUGAUGGGGGGAAAGACCUAAAUAUGCCGAGGGAAAGCUGCCCCUCAGAGCAUCAUGGUGGUGAGGUUCAAUACAACCUUUUCUGGGUUGCAAAAGGUAGAGAAACUACACAAUAUGUAUGCUGAAAAUCAACAUGGGAGAACUGAGUUCCAGCAGAUCAAUCUCAAUAAUGGCAAAACAAGCAGACCAAGUCCUAUCUGGAGCCGAGGCAAGGCCAACACUAACAAGAAGACAUACAGAUUCAGUAGAGACUAUCACAGUUACAGCUAUUGAAAUGCAGUUUCAGUCCAAGGAGGGUCUUCAGGAAUGCCUUUAAGGAUGUUUCUGAACAAGGUUCCUCACCAUCGACCUCCAUGUUUGUGCAUGAAGAAGUUACAGCAGUCAAGUCAGAUUCCUGGCUCCCAGCUGAAGGCUUCAACCCAAGCAAUUCUUUUCUACGCACACAUCAGAGUCCAGGGUAGUAAGUGCAUAGCCCAUCAAACUUUUAUGCACUACAUGGUGAUGUAUCUCAGUAUCAAAGGAAGAAAGGUUCUGGGCAAGGUAGAUGCUCAGAUGACGGGGACAUUGAGCUGGGCAGAUUUUGGUGCUGAAGUGGCAGAGAAUCAAAGCUCCAAUUAUGAUCCAGAGGGUGAAUAUGUGAGACAUUGGCUGCCCGAGCUGGCAAGAGUGCCCACUGAGUGGAUUCAUCACCCUUGGGAUGCUCCCUUUACUGUGCUUGAACCAGCAGGGGCAGCUUGGAAGUUCAUUCAGUGCAUCGAUGCUCAUGUAACUGCUGAAAGACACAUGCCAGAUUUUCAAGAAAGCCGAGGUUGCCAAGAGAUGGGAAAGAAGCAUGAGCAAGGUGAAAUUACAACCCGUGACCACAGAGAAGCUCGAUGUUACUACUGUUUUGGGGCUCCAUCUCCUGUCCCAACUAGGGUCACUGAUGUAUUCUGAGAGUAGUUCUUUGCUGAGAAUCCUGGUUCAUCAGCAGAGGAAGUUCAGUUAGAAAGAAACCAUGCAAAUUCUCGUGUGGAAUGACUCUUCCUGUCUGGGUGUCGUGCCAACACUGAGGAGGACGCUGUCGUUUCUCAUGCUCAAGUUCAGCAGCACCCCAUGCCCUCUUCCUCGCCCGUCAAAGAUAUUGCUUCACAUUGCGGAACGAAGCAUAACCGCUCCAUCUUAUAUCAGAGCGAUCAUCAUUCCGCUCCCCGCAAUCAUGACGGCUCCGGGUUUGGCACUGUAUACCAGGUUACGAUGAUGAGAAUGUUAGAGUUGGGUUCCCUCUCCGUCGCUGUCGAGGCUUCAAGGCUCCACGAAGAUCUAAUUCAUCCCGCAUGGACGUUGCAGCAGCUAUAAUACAGGCUGCAGUCAGAGGAUACCUGGUCUUGUAUUUGGGCUUGUGAGCAGUCCAACUAGCUUGUCACCUACGGCUGAGAGCAAGCUUAAUGAUGGAAGCAAAAAGAACGCAACCAGUAGCAUAUUGUUGAAAGCAGAUUGGACGUUAGUAUCCAUACUUCCAGUUUGAAUGCUUGGGAGCUUCUUCUGUUGCUGCCAAUGGUUUUCGGAUCUGACUUGCAGGGAGAAUACAGUCUGCAUGGUUGCUGCAUUGAUUUCAAUGGUGGAUAUUAUGGGUAUGCUCAAAUAUACGAGGCAUAUGGGUAUGCGCCACCUCCUCAAGACCCUAACAUCGUGCCUGACAUUGAAGAUUCCAUAGUUUUGGAUGAGAAGAUUUAUAUCCGCUGCGGCACUUCUGGCUUGACUUCUCAUGUGCAUGCAGUUGUUUACAAUCCAUCUCAUGGCACAUGGCAGCAGGCUGAUGUCGACAUGGUGUUAGGAUGACAGGUUCAGCUGUUAUUGUAGAUGAGACUCUUUAUGUGUUGAACCAGUGGUUGGAAGCGAUGGGCUUGAGAAGCCUGCAGUUGUCAUGAAAAUGAACCUCCAAUCUGUGCUGAUUUAGAAGAUGCAAAUGCUGCCUGGAAUGUCCCAUUACGAGCAUGUAUGCACAAAGUGCUAGUUGAUACAUUGAAACGCGGCUCUCAAUGGCCAGAGCUAUGGCCUGCAAGGUUGGAUAAAACUCCAUACUGGUUGACGAGUUCCCAGGUUGGGGUUUAUGGCAGAGCAGCACCUGGGGAUUUCACUGCGGACUAUGAACAUUGGAAACGAGUGGUUGCUAAGUCAUAUCUAAUGGGAUGUAUCUGUGGCAUCUUUAGGACCCAUUCUUUCUUUCUAGCCUGGCAUGCAUGGCCACCCUUCUGAGCCACGUGCCAUCCCUCAAACUCUUUCCCUCUAAUUUCAAAAUAAUAAUUUCCAACACCGUUUUGAAAUGUUUUUCCAACUUUUGGUUUUUAAAAUGUUUUCAAGUCAUCAAAUUUUCCAUCCUUAGGGUUUUUAGAUACCAACAUCUCAUUUUUAAUAAAAUUUGGUUGUCAUUUUCUUUCCGGCAAGCCACUUUUGCAUUUUCUUUGUUUUUAAAAUGUUUUUAAAAAUAAGUAAGAAUUAAAUUCCGUAAUUCCAAGUGAUGGAAUUUAUGGAAUUGAUUCAUGCAAAAUAAAAGGGCUUUGGUGGGGGCCCAACAUCAAAUAAAUUUUCAUCAAAAUAAAACUGAAUUUGAAUGAAAUGCCAUGUGUGUUGUUGAUGGUUCUUUAUCUGUUUAGUGACUCGCAGGCUAUAUUUUAUAUUCAUUACUAUGCACUAAUCCCAUUUUGUGAUAGCGCGUUGCCGUUUGCUAAUCAGGUACGCAUCCACUUUCUCUUCGGCUAUCCUCCAUUGCAUAUUUUGAUACUCAUAUGUGCAUGAUCGAUUCGAGUAUUCAUUGAUUUUCUCAUUGAUUGCCAUGUCAGCUUCAUUUUAGUAGUAGAGACCCGACUUUAGGGACUUAGAGGGGUGCUACGGUCUUUACCGUACCUUCCCGAUAAGUAACCUGACCCCCGAACCCGAUCCGAUUUUUCACAGACCGCUUUUUCCAAAAUAAGGAGUCACACUUAGGGUUUUUCUUUCUUAUUUUGUUUACCCUUUUAAAAAUAAAACAAAAAUAAGUGGCGACUCCAAGUCAUUUUCAAAUAAUCAAUAAAAAUCAAUUUUUUCAAAUAAUAAAAAUCGAGUUUUGCCAUCGAGUGGGAAACGCAUCGAGCAAUCGAAAUGCGGGGUCCAUAAUAAUAUAUUAAGAUAUAACUUAAUUUAAUGUUUAAUUCUUUUUCAACAAGCACUUGUAAAUAGCUGCCCUAUACACCUUAAAAUUCUCUUUACUAUAGAUUAACCUUGGAAGACAUUUUUUUUUAAAGUUUAUGAUUUUCGUUAUAAAAAUUGUUGUCAUUAAUAGUUAUAUUGAAAAAUUAAACAUUUCAAAAUUUAUGAAAUUUAUAUAAUAAAAAAUAUAUUAACUUUAUAUUUUUAAUUAUCAGAAUGAAACGGUAAUUUGUAAAAUUCUUAUAUUAUAUAUUAUUAUUAUUAUCUUGGAUAAGUUAUUUAUAAUAUCAUUAAGAUAAUAAUUAAAGAAACAAUAAUUAUAAUUAAUUAUUAUAUUAUUUAUAUGUAUUAGUAUUAAUAUUAUUCUUAUUUGAUAGACUAUUUAUAAUAAUAAUAAUAAUAAUUCUUAUUUAAAGACUUAUCAAAGUUGAUGACCUUUUGGGUAGUCAUCACCCCGUAGCCCGCACUAUAGGUAAUUCUCCCUAAAAGUUUUAAAAAAUUGUAACCUUUAGCACUUAGUAUUUACACUAGAUCAUGUCCGCUAUAAAUUUUAAUUAAUCUAACAUUAAAAAUGACCCUAUGAAACAUAGUUGUAUUAUUCAAUUUUUCAAGUCUAUAUUAAGGAGUUAAAGAAUUAUGAAAAGGAAAAAAAAUGUUUUUAAAAAAGAUUAAGAAUGAUUAUUUACUUUUCCAAAAAAUUACUAUUAUUUUGAACUUAUUUAAUAAAAAUUUUAAUGAAUAUUUAUGUUAAUUAAUUGAGACUGAACUAAAUAAUGAUCACAAAAUAAAAUAAGUAUUUGUUAUGAUUUGAUAAUUUUAAAAUUUUAUUUACAAAUAAAUCUAUAACCACAUUUGUUUUAUUUCGUAUGCCUUUUUAGCCCACACUAAUAUCAAAACCAUUUUUGCUUUUAAUGGCAACUAAUGAAUGCAAGAAGAGAGGCGAGUGAAAAACAAAUGAAGAUAUUUUUUUUCUUUUUGUUUUUUUUUUUUCGGGAAUUUGAGUUGUGAUAUGUGGCCGGCCUGUAAAAGGACCAACUUAGAGCAAGCAAUGUUGGGAACUUGCAAAGCAAAUAAGCCUUUUUUUAAAAAAAUAAAAUAAAAUGAAUAAGAGCUUAUUUCAUAGGGAUGGUAGGAAACAUUGCUAAUCUUUUUAUCAAUUGAAAAAAACUUUUUUGAUAAUAAUUUUUAAAUUUUAGAAUGAUUAAAAAUACUUUCUAGAAUUAUUUGAAACAUAUUAUAACUCAUUGAUGCUCUUAGCCAAAUUAUGCAAAAUUUCUUUAUGUGUAAGAUUUGUCACAUGACACAUUUAGAUAAUUGACUAAAAAAAUUAUAUAUUACUUGAACUUUACAAUACUUAUUGAAAUAUUAAUAAUUAAAAAGAAAUUGUGAAAACAAGCAUACUUGGAAAGAAAAUCGGGAAAAGGGGGUUGAAAUCAUUGAAGUGUUUGAGUGUUUCUUCUCGAAGUGUUUUUAGUAAAAGUAUUUUUUUUAGAAAUAUUUUUAAGCAAUCAAGUGUUUUUUCAAAAAAAAUAUUACAAGUGACUUUUCAAUACUAAUUGAUUAUAAUGCAUGACAGUAAUUCUAAUAAGUGUUUCUAUCAUUUGUAACAUUUGAAAAUUUUUAUCUUUUCAAUAUUAAAAAUAUUAGAAAUACUUUCUAAAAUCACUGUCAAAUACAUUUUUAAUUUUUUUUUCAAAAAUACUUUUUAAAUAUUUUUUAUUUAUUAAAAACACUUUUUAAAAUCAUUAACAUGAUGGGUACCAAAUCCAUUUAUAAGUUUAUGAUUAUAGCUGCUAAAAGUUUUAGGAUUUCGAAUUUUUAUUUCGAUAUAUGGUUAUAAAAAAAUCCUGACACUUCAUAUAUUAAACAAAUGAAUACAAAUUAUUUAUAUUGUUUGAUAGGGAGCCAAACCAUUUAUGGAACGGCUCCUCCAAAAAUAAAUGUAUGCCGUUUUGGAUGGGGGGCACACGGUAUUCUUUAGUAAAAGGCGAAAGAAUAGUUCGCUUUGUGCUCCCCACACGGCUCCAUGUCUUCGAUCAAACGUUGACAGAUAUUUUAUAAGCAAGUUUUUUGGAGGUUCUUCUGUCUGGGAGCGAUGUGGGACACUAACAGACGGUGCUAAUGUGUUAUAAUGGCUCCGCUUAAUUCUUAUUUGGGCUGACAGCUAUAAUGGACCUGCCCCAACACCCAUGUCAGACCACUAGGAUUAUGGGCCUUAAUAGCGCCUCCUUUUCCAUUCCUUAAUUUUGAAUCCAUUUUGGGGAUAUUUAUACAUGUCUGACUCUGCUUUUGUCCCCUUCUUUUUUGUAAUGAUCAUAUAAACCUUUAUUUAUAUCAGUAUUAAUUUGAAGAAGAAAAUCUGAAAAUUAUUUGUAAUGGCUUUUUAAGUAUAAAAUAUUUGAUUUAAUAAAGUAAUAAUAAAUUCAUAUUUAUUCAUGUUUAUAAUAAAUAAAUUAAUAAGAAAUUCAUAUUUAUGCAUGUUCGAAUAAUGUUCUUAUAGAUAUUGAAAAGUUAAAAUAAGUCCUCUAUUAAAUUUGUAUCUCUUGCUUGAUUACAUAAUAUUCACACUUAUUAUCCUUUUAUAUUCAAGUAUCUUUGAUAUAAUAAAUAAUUCUUUCUAGUCUCUAAUUUGAUUACAUAAUAUUAACAUUUAUUAUCUCGUACCAAGGUUUGAAAUAUCGAUAAAUAUGGAUAUAUCGACACUUGGAUUUUACGGAUGACAAAAAUAUCGGUAGGACAAAAAUGAUUAAAAAUUCAUGAAAUGGUUACAAAAACUUCAAAUAGAAAAAUUAUAAAAUAAGCAAGAAUACAUACGUAUUAAAGUUAUUUUGUUAGUGUAAUUGAUAUAGGUAUGAUGAAAGAUAAUGUUUAUCAAUUUUUUUUAAGAAAAUAUUGACUUAAAUUCCUUAAAUAUAUUUAUAUUCAUUUAUUUUAAAAAUUAAAAAUUACUUUUAUUAAAACAUGUUUUAUUACAUUUUAAAUAAAAAAUUAUAUUGAUUUACAUAAAAUAUUUUGUUUGAGAUUUAAUUUCUAAAAUUUUGUUACAAAUUUGUGGUGACAAUUUUUUGCUAUUAAAAUUUUUUGAAUAAAUUUAUAUUUUUAAUAUUUUGAAAUAAAAAUAUUUAAAAUUGAAUAAAAUUAGAAGGAUAAAUAUAAAAAAUUAAAGUGAAGUGAUAAUAAUUUUUUAAAAUAGGAUUAAUGAGAUAAAUAUGAAAAAUAAUUAAAAAUAAAAGAAUAAUAGAAAAUAAAAGGGUGAUGUAAAUUUAAAAUAAAAGAUAAUUUGGAAAAAAUUUAAAAAAAAAAUGACUUUUUGAAAAAACCGCUUGAGGUUUUUUGGAAAAGCACCUCCCCAUGUGCAUGUGCCUACAUCGUCAAUUUUUUCGAUGAAAUUUCAGGAUUUUCCCAAAAUAUCACCGAUAUUUCUUCAAUAUCACUUAUUUUUUUGGAGAUUUUUCAGUCAAUUUAUAAUUGAUCGUCGAUUUUGUUUCGACCACCUCUGAUAUUUGAUACUUCACCGAAAUUGGUGAAAUUUUCUGAUUUUUCAAACCUUGUUUGUAUCUUUAAUAUUAAAUCAUAUUCAUGUAUGUUUGAAGGGAUUAAAAAAUAAAAGUUCUAUUUUAAAUUACAACUCUCAUUUGUUUAUAUAAUAUUAAUAACUCUUUUAUAUAAAAGGGUUAAUAAAUUCAUAAUCAUGUACUUUGAUAAUAAAUUCAUGUUGAUUACAUAAUAUUAAUGUUUAUUUUACUAGUGAUCAUAUUUUUUUUUAUAUAUAUAAUAUAGAUAAAAUUUAAUAUUUUAAUGAUCAAUUACUAAUAAGAAGCUCUCCACCUAAAAAUUUAUCAUUUUUAUUAUCUUUUAACUUAAACCAGUUUAUAAGAUAAAAUUUAAUUUCAAAGAGUUUUUUAAAUGUUAAAAAUCACUUUUAAAAUUUGAAGAGCUCAUUUGGUAAUACUUUUUAAAAGUGUUUCUAACCCUAAAAACGCUUAAAAGCAUUUUUAAGGUAAAAAAAAAAUAGGCGUUUGGCAAUAUUCUAAAAAACACUUUUGAAAAUUUAGAAAAACACUUGAAGUGUUUUUUAGAGAAGCACUUGGGAGGUGUUUCUUUGAAAAAACACUUCAAAGUUUUUCAUAUAUUCCUAAAAUACCAUUUCCUGCUAUUCUCCAUUUCUCUUUCACUUUCCACUUCCUUCUCACUCUCCCUUUCCUCUUUCACUUCCCUUUCAUAAAAAUAUUUUUUCUACCUUUUUUAACAAUAUAAAUGUUUAUAUUUUUUGUAAUAAAAUUUUUUGGUUUUGUUAGCCUAAGGGUUCUUCUAAUUUUGUUUUGAUGAUAACAAAUCAUGGUUAAGUUGCUAAUUGGUUUGAAUUAUAAAGAAUUUCAUGUGUUAGUUUGGAAAUUCAUUAAAUGACCCAAUGGAUGCGAGAUCAAGACAAUUGGAAGACUCUUUAAUCAUAAGAAACUUAUGAAAGAUGAAUGUAUGGGUGCACUUAGGAUUUUCAUAUCUUUUCAUGCAUCUUUAAAAUUUUGAUUUAUUCAUUAAAGUUACAUUUUCAUCAAAAUCCGAGUUUUAUCAAAUGAACCUUAGGAAAAUUGUUUCAAUAUUGACUUAUUAAUUUACCUAAAGACCUUGCCUAAGUGUUAGAAGUGAAAAACCAGAAAAAGAUAGGUUUUUGGACAAAAAAUGGUGAACUGGUCGAGGCAUUGGCCAACUGGCUUAACCAAUUAGGGUACUAGUCGAUCGAUUAUGCCUUCCCGGUCGAGGUCCGGUUGAGAGAUGCAAAAAACCUUCUCUUUCUUCCAGUUCCUUGCAUUCCUAGUCGAGGAACAUGCCUUCUCGAUCGAGGAACAUGCCUUCUUGAUCGAGAUCCAAUUAAGGUCCAGUCGAGGACUAACGGUCACUUGCCACGCAUUUAUUACCCAACGGCUAGUCAACCGGUUGACCCCUAACUCAAUCGAUCGAGGCUACUUUUUGGCAUUUUGGCUCCCGAUGCUAGAAACCUAUAAAUUGAGAGUUCCAUUUCAUUUAUGAGCAAAAGAACACCUACAUUUAUUUGUCUACCUACUUGUUCUAGCCUAAAAAUCUUUCACUCUUUCUUUGGUGCAUUAAAUCUCCAUUUGCAUAUUCCUUAAUGCACCUUUGUGUUUCAUCCUAGCAUUUGAGUUAUAUUUGAGCCCUUGUUGAGCUAGGUUGAGAGAUUCAAACUUUGUUAUUUGAGUGUUAAAAGCUUUAAGUGAAUAAAAACUUAAAGGGAUUGUGUAGGAGCCCAUUAGAGUUAGAAUCCAAGUGUGAAGGUGAUUAGAAGCUUGGUUGAAGCUUUAAGUUUAGUGGAACCCUCACUCAGUUAGGAGCUUGAGAAGAGUGGACGUAGGCAAGGAUGUGUUGAAGCACUAUAAAAUCUGAGUUUGUUUUCUCUAACUUUAUCUUUUUAUAUUUGUGUUUCCUUUACUUGAAUUUGUUGUGAUUGAAAAUGAUUUUUUAAAAACCCAAUUUACCCCUCCUCCUUGGGUGUUUUCCUAAUUAAGAUUAGUCUUUAUUUUCUCAAUUGGUAUCAAAACUAGGCCUCUUGUUUGAGACUUAAUCGUUUAAGAGGAAAUGACUAAUCCAUCAAACUCAUCUCACAUUAAAAGUUUUGCAUUCAACAGACCUCCAUUUUUUACGGGAACCGAUUAUCCUUAUUGGAAAACUAAAAUGACUUGGUUUUUACAAUCAAUUGAUUUAGACUUAUGUGAUGUCAUUGAAGAUGACCCAACUUUUCCUUCAAAACUAGUUGAUGGAGUCAUUGUUCCAAAACCCAAACAAGAAUGAGAUGAGCGUGAUAGAAGAAAUUUCCAAUUAAAUGCUAAGGUCGUUUAUACUUUGCAAUGUGCUAUGGAUAGAAAUGAAUAUAAUAGAAUUUGUCAAUGAAAAUUGACUAAAGAAAUUUGGAUAUUGCUUGAAAUAACUCAUGAAGGAACAAAUCAAGAUAAAGAUUCAAAAAUCAAUUUACUUGUUCAUAGUUAUGAAUUGUUUUUUAUGAAGGAUAAUGAAACUAUUGUUGAAAUGAUUACUAAGUUCACCGACAUUGUCAAUUGUCUUGAAGCCUUGGGAAAGACCUACAAGGAAUUGG
RNAcentral lists this long non-coding RNA (11455 nucleotides) under Vitis vinifera (wine grape). Its description in RNAcentral is "long non-coding RNA (VVIN_LNC004933)". The record is from RNAcentral. Lineage: Eukaryota; Viridiplantae; Streptophyta; Magnoliopsida; Vitales; Vitaceae.